AUGACACGGUUGCCCUAUCACCAUGUUGACAAAUUAGGUGCUAAAGAUGCAUGGUCAUUGCUCAAGAAGCAGGUAGUCACAACAGAAAAAUAUGAACCCGAGAUUGAGAUUCUAAAGGAUAUUGGCUUGCAGAUUAUAGAAAAGUGUGAUGGUCUGCCACUUGCUGUAAAGGUGGUGGGAGGGCUAUUAUGCCAGAGGGAGAAAAAUCAACGUGCUUGGCAAAAGGUUCUAAACGACGAUUUAUGGUCAGUAUCUCAAAUGUCAGAAGAGCUAAAUUAUGCAAUAUGUCUUAGCUAUGAGGACUUACCCUCUUGUUUGAGGCAAUGCUUUCUGCACUUCUCCCACAUACCUAUAGUUUUACCAUCAGAUGUGAUUGUCGGGAUGUGGAUCAGUGAAGGGUUUGUACACGGAAACCCAGAUGGAUUAGAAGAAUUGGGACAUCAGUACUAUAGGCAGCUAAUACUAAGGAACCUUAUAGAGCCAGUUCCAUAUGGUAUUGGUCAAUAUCUCUGCAACAUGCAUGAUGUUGUUCGCUCAUUUGCUCAAUUUGUAGCUAGAGAUGAUGCAUUGAUACUUCAUAAAGGAGAAAAUAUUAACAUCAAACCUAGUUUGCAAGGGUUUCUUAGGUUGUCUAUAGAAACCAAAGGAAUAGAAUCAGAUGAACCUGAGUGGAGAAGUUUACAAAAGCAUAAAUCACUUAGAUCAUUAAUGUUAAUUGGAAAUUUCAAGAUUCAGUCGGGUGAUUCAUUGGAAACAUUUUCAAGCCUACGGAUGCUACAUAUAGAAUCAACCAAAUUUGAUGUCUUGGUUGAAUCUCUGUAUCAGCUCAAACACUUGAGGUAUCUAGCAUUAAUAAAGUGCAAUGACUUAGAUAGGCUGCCCGAGAACAUCCAUAAGAUGAAAUUCCUACAACACAUUAGUCUUGAAGAUUGUGAGAGUGUUGUGAAACUUCCUAAUAGCAUUGUGAGGUUACAUGAACUGAGACAUCUUGAUCUUGAUGGCACACGUGUAAAUAGUAUACCCAGGGGGUUCGGUGCUCUCACUAAUUUGAGGACACUAUAUGGGUUCACAGCCCAUGUGGAUGGUGAUUGGUGUAGUCUGGAAGAACUUGGGCCUCUUUUCAAUCUUAGGAGCAUUGGGUUAGUGAAUCUACAGAAUGUUUCAGAUGCCUCAUUCGCCACAAAGGUCAAGCUUGGUGAAAAGGUCAGUCUUAGCCAGCUGAUCCUCAACUGCACGGGAAGACUAGGCAUCAAUGAAUUUACCAAAGAUUCAGUCUCGGAGAAGGAUCAAGGAAUGGUUGAGGAGGUGUUUGAUGGGCUCUAUCCUCCACCUUGCAUAGAAGAUAUUCGUAUCUACAACUAUUUUGGGCGUCAACUCCCAAAAUGGAUGAUGUCAGCAACAAUGAUGCGUAUGCCCCUCAAUAGCUUAAAGAUUUUAGUGAUGUGGGACAUGGCAUAUUGCACCCAACUCCCAGAUGGCUUGUGUGCGCUCCCAUGUUUAGAGUACCUAGACGUCGGACAAGCUCCAACAAUCAAGCGUGUUAGGUCUGAAUUCGUGCAGCCACAUAGUCACUGCCAUCAUGCUUCAUCCCAGGUUGCUGUCUCGUUUGCAAGACUGCACAAGAUGAUAUUAUGGGAAAUGGCGGAAUUGGAGGAGUGGGAGUGGGAGAAGGAAGUGCAGUCUAUGCAGGCCUUGGAGGAACUUAAAAUCAGAAGUUGCAAAUUGAGGUCCAUCCCUCCUGGCCUUGCCUCCCAUGCAAAGUCUUUGAAAAAGUUAACCAUAUGCAAUGUCCAGCAGCUCCAGUAUAUAGAAAACUCUGCUUCUGUAGUCGAGCUCAGCCUUGCUGGACUACCCGACCUGACUAGGAUCUCCAAUUUUCCCAAGCUGCGAAAACUUGAGAUCUAUUGCUGCCCGAAGCUCGAGUUGCUGCAGGAGAUGGUUGCACUCCAGAAGCUAACAGUUCAGUACAGCGAGAAGCAGCUCCCAUCGUACCUGCAAACUGUAAAGCCAAGACAUUUGCUGCUGGAUUGCUGCUCGGUGAUACUCCUUUCCAUGGCUUUGGGAGAGUCUUGUUCCGAGUGGGACAAGUUCAGCCAUAUCCAGCAAGUUGAGGCAUAUGCAGAUGAUGGAGGCAUUGAAAAGAGAUGGCACCUAUUCUACACAAGGGAGCCCUACAACAUGGAGACCAACAUUGAUCUGCAGGAGUGGUCAGACGAUGUUAACUUUAUCCAAUCAGAGGGUGAAGGUGGCCUGCCUCGGUUAGCUGCCCUGAUGAAAUCUGCGGAUGAAGAUGAGGAGGAUGCAGACAACACAGAAGAAAUAGAGGAGGAAAGCAUGGGCCAAGGAAGGGAGGAGUAG
RNAcentral lists this ribosomal RNA (2358 nucleotides) under Triticum aestivum (bread wheat). Its description in RNAcentral is "partial small subunit ribosomal RNA". Lineage: Eukaryota; Viridiplantae; Streptophyta; Magnoliopsida; Poales; Poaceae. The record is from RNAcentral.